AUAAACCGGACUCACCCCGAAAGAGAUUGCCAGCCAGCUUGAGUUC
This 46-nucleotide small RNA is filed under the name Escherichia coli. RNAcentral's name for it is "RNA63_SPACER7". Lineage: Bacteria; Pseudomonadati; Pseudomonadota; Gammaproteobacteria; Enterobacterales; Enterobacteriaceae. The record is from RNAcentral.